GAUAACAAUUACUCUCUUCUCGCAUACAGCAUCAGUGAUUCCAUCCUGGAAGGAAAAUAAUGGAAUCUAAAGCAAAAAAAGGAAAAAUCAAUGACUAUCUCAUACAAGUCUGCACUUCAAAACAACCUUAGGGCCCAUCCAACAAACUAGACUGCAUUUUUCUUGUUUCUGAAGUUGUCUUUUAGCAAAGCAAAUUUUUUCUUGCACUGAUUAACAGUCUUCCCAGGAACAGCAGCUGCAACUCGCUCCCAACGUUGACUGGUUUCCCUUGGGAAGGUUUUCAGAGCCUGAACUAGUGCUCUUUCCUGUACAGCAGACCAUGCAUCUUGCUCUGAGCUCAAAGAAACCCCAUUUUCAGCAACCCCUUCAUCAGGUUUCUUGUUAUUCUCAGAUAUACUCGAAGAUUCCUCUGAAUUAUCCAUCUUUGCCGCACUGCUUUCAGGCCCUUGUUUAGUUGCAGAUCCUUCCAUUUCCUCUCUAGUUGUAAGUGGAGAUGCAAUGGAUUGCGCAGGCUUCCUCUUCUCAAGAAAGGAAUCAAAAGCUUUAGCAGUGUCAGGCUUCUGAAGGAGGACAGUUUUUGUUGCCUUCAGAAU
RNAcentral lists this unclassified non-coding RNA (593 nucleotides) under Hevea brasiliensis (rubber tree). Lineage: Eukaryota; Viridiplantae; Streptophyta; Magnoliopsida; Malpighiales; Euphorbiaceae. The record is from RNAcentral.